This 48-nucleotide non-coding RNA is filed under the name Trichobilharzia regenti. Lineage: Eukaryota; Metazoa; Platyhelminthes; Trematoda; Strigeidida; Schistosomatidae. The record is from RNAcentral.
AUCCAGCUGGCCAGUCCCAAAUAGGGCGAAAUGCGCGUUGUCCUGGAU